UUGAUUGAUAAUUGUUGGGUUAUCAUAUGUGCUUAAGGCCUUUAUCGUUUAACUCAUUCUGUAACUAAUGUUUGUCUUUAUUGAUAUGGGGACGUACAGUAAUGACAUGAACUGGUGAGUAAUUUCUUGAUUUUGCAAUACCACCUAAGGAUAGGGGUAGGACGAUCAAUUGCGCUAACUUCUGUUUAUAAUGCAGUAUUAAUUGCUAGGGGAAGCUAGGGAUAGCAAGCCAGUAGUUAAUAUUAGGCCCUUUUCGUCGAGGGAUCAGGUUAAGGGGAGGCUAAGAAAGUCACAUAACAAUUAAUUAAUCAAACUAAUAGUCAAGAGGAGUAGAUAAGAGAGGGUGGAUUAGAUGAAAUUGUGAACCCCCAACAAUAUCCAUUCAUCCAUUGUUUUCGUUUGUCAAUUGAAUCACCUUUAUUUUGCAUGUUAAUAUUUNUGUUCUCAAAUCCAAUUUAUUAAUUUUUAUUUUCAAGUCUUAUUAUUUUAAUUCACGUGAAUGAGAAAGCCUUUUGAGUCUCUUGGGAAAACGAUACUUGGUCUUACCAUUUAUAUUACUUGUACGAUUUGGUACACUUGCCAAUUUGUCAACAAGUUUUUGGCAUCGUUGCCGGGGACUCGAGGUUUAUUUUUCUAGUAGUGUGGAUUGGUUGAGUUUGACUUGAUUUUAUGUUUAUUUUUAUUUUUUUUCUCAUAAAUGUUUUCUAGGCUUUUGUGCUUAAGUUUUGUAGAAUGCAGUCUGAUCAAGAAUUUGAUUAUAUGGGCACUCAAU
This 772-nucleotide long non-coding RNA is filed under the name Vigna radiata. Its description in RNAcentral is "long non-coding RNA (VRAD_LNC005197)". The record is from RNAcentral. Lineage: Eukaryota; Viridiplantae; Streptophyta; Magnoliopsida; Fabales; Fabaceae.